Non-coding RNA from Camellia sinensis, 490 nucleotides. NCBI's taxonomy places the organism in Eukaryota, Viridiplantae, Streptophyta, Magnoliopsida, Ericales, Theaceae. The record is from RefSeq and is a predicted model, not a curated record.
GCAGAUCAGUCUUAUCUCUAUCUCUAGUUCAUGUUCGAGUUCGCAGGUCUUUCUUCAUGGUUUGCUAGGUUUUAUCUAGAUCAGAUCGAUCGAUUGAAGAUCUAUUAAUCGAUUGAACGUGAUUUCGAAGUUCAACCUUCUUCAGCUCGGCGAUUCAAUCUCAGAUUCGUUCGGCGAUUUCGAAGUUCUCUCUCGAUUUCAAAGCUCGGUGAUUCAAUCUCAGAUUCGUUCAGUGAGGAAAGUGAGCACCAUCAUCUACCAAGUUUUUUUAUAGAUAUUAUCUAUGAGUUCUAGCUUCGACCAUUCUUCUAGUGAAAGUGAGCAAUCAAGCUCUAGUAGUUCUAGUUCAGAUGAGACUCAGAACACACUCAAGAUGAAAGUCAUACCCGAUCCACCGGCAUCAUGGCAUCCACCAGGCAGUCUUCCUACCACAUCACGUAGCGGUAGUACAUCACAUGGCUCUGUUUCAGCUGGUAUGUAUCAACUUUGC